ACUGUUAUUGCAAAAUACCUCCGC
RNAcentral lists this microRNA (24 nucleotides) under Ananas comosus (pineapple). Its description in RNAcentral is "microRNA s0297_c100". Lineage: Eukaryota; Viridiplantae; Streptophyta; Magnoliopsida; Poales; Bromeliaceae. The record is from RNAcentral.